This 429-nucleotide ribosomal RNA is filed under the name Actinomycetes bacterium. Its description in RNAcentral is "Actinobacteria bacterium partial 16S ribosomal RNA". It matches the Rfam family "Bacterial small subunit ribosomal RNA", at positions 355 to 776 of the family's 1533-position model. Lineage: Bacteria; Bacillati; Actinomycetota; Actinomycetes. The record is from RNAcentral.
UAGGGAAUCUUCCGCAAUGGGCGAAAGCCUGACGGAGCAACGCCGCGCGAGUGAUGAAGGUCUUCGGAUCGUAAAACUCUGUUAUUAGGGAAGAACAAAUGUGUAAGUAACUAUGCACGUCUUGACGGUACCUAAUCAGAAAGCCACGGCUAACUACGUGCCAGCAGCCGCGGUAAUACGUAGGUGGCAAGCGUUAUCCGGAAUUAUUGGGCGUAAAGCGCGCGUAGGCGGUUUUUUAAGUCUGAUGUGAAAGCCCACGGCUCAACCGUGGAGGGUCGUUGGAAACUGGAAAACUUGAGUGCAGAAGAGGAAAGUGGAAUUCCAUGUGUAGCGGUGAAAUGCGCAGAGAUAUGGAGGAACACCAGUGGCGAAGGCUACUUUCUGGUCUGUAACUGACGCUGAUGUGCGAAAGCGUGGGGAUCAAACAGG